UGUGGUAGACACAUGGAUAAGGUAAAGGUAACACUAUGCGUAUCGGUGGUGAUUGGACGACCAGAAGGAAUUCUCAUUCGAUCACAUAGUGAGAAACACUUUCAGCCGAAGAGUGCGAUUAGACGAUCCAAGAUCGUUCCUGCCCAAGUGAAUUGAACUAUUGUGGUCUUUUUCUACCUAAACAUAUCAGACAGUCUAAAUGAACUUCCACUCGAAUUUUGAAUCAAUACUCUAGAUUUCCUUCUAACUAACCCGAUUGUGCAAUCUAGAUUUUAUGAAGUACAAAUGGUCCAUAUCUGUGUUAGGUAGAAUCCAACGGGCAUGAUUCAGGGAGAUAUGAAAUGACAAAAAUGGGUUCAAUGAAACCCUAGAUUAGACGAUUGAGGUUUAAAAGGUCAAGGUCGAAUGGCUACGUGUUGAUUUCACACCUCAAAAGAUGAAAAUGCUUUCCUUUUGAUCCAACAUCCAGAUCUUUAGAGAUAUUGAUCAUAUGGCCCAUUCCUAGGGUAUAAAAAUAAACCCUAGAUUGGUCUCCCCAUUUUGCGAGAGAGCUGCUGCUGAAAAGAGAGAGAGAGUAACAGAAGAGAUCGAGCAAAAGAAGGAGAGACUGUUUGAGGAAAUUUCUAAUGCAAUGUCGCCACGAAAGAGUGAUGAAUCAGGUGUUAAGAGAG
Molecule: long non-coding RNA, 671 nt
Filed under: Carica papaya (papaya)
Lineage: Eukaryota; Viridiplantae; Streptophyta; Magnoliopsida; Brassicales; Caricaceae
Description: long non-coding RNA (CPAP_LNC003047)
Source: RNAcentral